This 830-nucleotide ribosomal RNA is filed under the name Microbacterium sp. LZXC43. RNAcentral's name for it is "bacterial SSU rRNA". It matches the Rfam family "Bacterial small subunit ribosomal RNA", at positions 354 to 1198 of the family's 1533-position model. Lineage: Bacteria; Bacillati; Actinomycetota; Actinomycetes; Micrococcales; Microbacteriaceae. The record is from RNAcentral.
CUGGGGAAUGGCAUGGGCGCAGCCUGAUGCAGCAACGCCGCGUGAGGGACGACGGCCUUCGGGUUGUAAACCUCUUUUAGCAGGGAAGAAGCCUUCGGGUGACGGUACCUGCAGAAAAAGCACCGGCUAACUACGUGCCAGCAGCCGCGGUAAUACGUAGGGUGCAAGCGUUAUCCGGAAUUAUUGGGCGUAAAGAGCUCGUAGGCGGUCUGUCGCGUCUGCUGUGAAAACCCGAGGCUCAACCUCGGGCCUGCAGUGGGUACGGGCAGACUAGAGUGCGGUAGGGGAGAUUGGAAUUCCUGGUGUAGCGGUGGAAUGCGCAGAUAUCAGGAGGAACACCGAUGGCGAAGGCAGAUCUCUGGGCCGUAACUGACGCUGAGGAGCGAAAGGGUGGGGAGCAAACAGGCUUAGAUACCCUGGUAGUCCACCCCGUAAACGUUGGGAACUAGUUGUGGGGUCCAUUCCACGGAUUCCGUGACGCAGCUAACGCAUUAAGUUCCCCGCCUGGGGAGUACGGCCGCAAGGCUAAAACUCAAAGGAAUUGACGGGGACCCGCACAAGCGGCGGAGCAUGCGGAUUAAUUCGAUGCAACGCGAAGAACCUUACCAAGGCUUGACAUAUACGAGAACGGGCCAGAAAUGGUCAACUCUUUGGACACUCGUAAACAGGUGGUGCAUGGUUGUCGUCAGCUCGUGUCGUGAGAUGUUGGGUUAAGUCCCGCAACGAGCGCAACCCUCGUUCUAUGUUGCCAGCACGUAAUGAUGGGAACUCAUGGAUACUGCCCGGGGUCAACUCGGAGGAAGGUGGGGAUGACGUCAAAUCAAUCAUGG